RNAcentral lists this long non-coding RNA (307 nucleotides) under Lathyrus oleraceus (garden pea). Its description in RNAcentral is "Pisum sativum (pea) long non-coding RNA (PSAT_LNC016934)". The record is from RNAcentral. Lineage: Eukaryota; Viridiplantae; Streptophyta; Magnoliopsida; Fabales; Fabaceae.
AAACUCUGAACUCGGCUUAGACGACCCAACUUCUUACACGACUGGACAGUGUUGAAACAACAGGGUCUUCCUUCGAACAAACUUGGGCUCAUCUGUUUUAGCCAUCAAUCAAAGAUAGUAACCUGCACAACGGCAAGACAUACAUGCCCCUGGGGAUCGUAUGGACAAGAUAUACUCAAGUGUACUCAACAUUCAAAAUGAUUUUCAGAUGUUUUAUCUUUCCGCACAUCAUUGUCUAGCCUUCACAUUUUUAGAUGCAAUGUUUAUCAAAAAUUCGGACGUUUUUGCAAACAAAACAGUAAAAAAA